Heterocephalus glaber (naked mole-rat) is the source of this 10319-nucleotide non-coding RNA. The record is from RefSeq and is a predicted model, not a curated record. Lineage: Eukaryota; Metazoa; Chordata; Mammalia; Rodentia; Bathyergidae.
GCACCAUUUAUAUGUGUGUGCGUGCCUAUGUAUCAUGUGAGACUCUGUGUGUCCGAAUCUGUGUAUGUGUCCCUGGAAGCAAGCAUCUGCAUUUGUGUGUCUGUGUGCAGGAUCACCUGGCAAGUGUUGUCCUUGUGUUGUGUGGGUCUUUGCAUACGUGUGUGUGUGUGUGUAUGGUGAUCAUGGCACCUACAGCUCUCUGUACGGAUGGGCGUGUGUCUGUAUGUCUGUGGGCGGGGAAGAAGGAAAGAGACAUGUCCCUUCCAGCACCCGAAGAGGACAAUCAGGAUGGGGUCCGUGCCGUUCCUCCAGUGUGGAACGUCUUCUCCCCUGCUUACUCCUAGGAACCAAAUCCUUCCCAUUCUGAUAGGCUCAAAUCUAUCUCAUCCACUCAGCAAAACACAGACUCUGUCCUACAUGGGCCUCACCAGGCUUCCUCCCUGCUCUCCAACCAGUGCCCGUGUCCUCUUCGAAUAGUGACUUCAAUGGCCAGCGCUCAUCGAAUGCCAACCGUGUGCCAGGCUCUGUGCAUAGAACUUUACAUCCGUCCCUUCACUCAGUUCCCGUGACAUCUAUGAGCUGGCUAAUGGGAUAUCUGUGUGCAGCUGAAAACUUAACGAGAUUUUUGCAACAUGUCUAAGUUCACACAGCCAAUAAGCAGGCAUUGCGUGAGAUCUUGGGACACACAGGUCAGCCACAGAGGCAAGUUUCUUGCUGACGAAGUUCUGGAUCCAGAGUGGGAGGCACUGCACUGCGUUCUCCGUGGAGUCCUUCCUUCAUCUUCAAAUAGCUCAUCCAAGAGCGUUAAGUGCACCCAUGACAACACACGACGUAUUGGAUUAUGAAGAUUCAUAUUAGACACAACCUCAUCGGUGCAUCAUUGGGUGUUCAUAUUAUUUGUGCACUGUGUCUGUGCCCCGAUGGGUCAUUUGGCAGUAAUCAGCUCAUCUGUUGACAGAGGCAUUUACCUCUUGUCCAAAGGUACCCACUUGAUAUUUACAAAUACUUAAUUAUAAUUUAUAUUGUCAUUAUUGUUAAGUAUUAAUGUCAAUAUUAUUUAUCUAUACUCAAUUAUAUAUUAACAUGAUUACUUUAUAAUUCAAUACGUCUGUCAUGUGGUGCAACAGAUGUACAAAAUCUGGUUGAUGAUCUUAACUGGGGCUUAUUUUGGGGUAGGGCUUAUACCUGUUUUAUGAUGAGCAUCCUGAAAAACCAUGCUAGGGUUUACUUUCCAGUUCGAUUUUCUACUCUUUUUUUUUUUUUUUUUUUUGGUACUAGGGAUUGAACUCAGGACCUUGUGCUUGCAAGGCAGGCAGCAGAACCACUGAGCUAAAUCCCCAGCCCCCAGUUACGUUUUAUUUUGGGGGAAAUAUGGUAUGUACCUUGCUAUGUACCUUAUUUUUUAUAUUAGCUUAGUGACUAUACUUACGCUGAUUACUGUGUGACCCAAGGUAACCUGUGAGGUGAUUUUACUGUAUAAAAACCCCUAGACAAAGAGACUUGACAGCUACCCACUUUAGGGACCCCUCCUGUCUCUCAGGAGCUUUCUCUCAAUAAACCUUUCUUACCCUCUUCACCUCCUUUGUCCUCAAGUCCAUUCUUCGGUACUGGGAGACAUGAACUCGGUGCAUCUGACAUCUAACAGGUUGGGAGUUCCCUCCCUGUAACACUAGCAUUUAUCUUUCCAUGUGUUUUGCCACCCUGUUGGACUGCAAAUCUCCCAAAGGGCAAAACUGUGCCUUAUCCAUUUUUGUAUCACCCACAGUUCCUACUGCCAGACACACAGUGGGUCCUCAAAUAUUUUUGGAAUGAGCCAGUCAUAAUUUUUUAAAAAUCCAACAAGAGUUCAGCUUAGCUAGAAAUGUUAGGCACCUAAACCCAAGCCAAAAAUUGUAAUAAAGACUCCCUUUAUUCUUUGUUGAAUGCAAAAUAAACAUUGAGGCAGUCUUUGCGCUGUAUCAUAACACGAGCGUGCCUCGGGGGAUUGAUGGGCAGAUGCAGAGAACAUCGGCACUUUGUCUGGACGUUCUCUCCUCACCUGAGCUGUUUAGGACCUUGCCUUCUCUCCCCUGGGGACUUUGCAUCAAUAAACAGUGGCUGAGCUGGAUUAAACUGGCUCUGAUCCUCUGCACUGGGUUAGACCGCUGAGCAGGGUGUGUAUUAUCUGUGAACAGGAGGCAGCUGGGGAAUUCGAAGUGUCUGCCCACAGUGUAAUUAUCCCCUGCUGAUGAGCGAAUCAGGAACCCACACUCUCAGGAGCAGCAGGGACGUUCUCCAGCCUGAGACGGGCUUCCCACUGGGUCUGACGGAAGGAAGGGAGAGGAGACAGGGACGGCGUUUCACAGCCGAUUUCUGUUGCUCUGCUCUGCGCGGAGAGCAGUGGGGGCGGACAGCUGAGGUCACGCCGACGGCACCAGAGGAAAAAGCAGGCUGUCUGUCUGGGCCCCUACUGUAAAUCAAGAGCUGUGCAUUGCUGCUGGAAAAUGAAAUGCUCUUGUUUUCAUUUUCCAACCUGGAAGCACUUGGUUAGGUAACAGAGGCUGCUUCUUUGGGGAGCAGGCAAGCCCUUCUGUGGGCAGGAAGCUGGCAUGACACCUGCUCCAGCAACCAGCCCUGCUGGCCCGGGCUGGGUGCUGAGGCUGCACACCAUGCAAGUCCUGGGCCCAGCCAGACUGUCCACCACACACUCUGGUUCCUCACAGCAACUGUCACCAUGGCAACGGAGAAAUGAGUCCUGAAAGCUGUCUUUCUCCACUGCUCAAGAGUAAGGUCAGCAACGGCAAGACUGUCUGUUCCACUGAUCUCUUUAUCCUUAUGCCCAUCGUAGGUAGGGUCUGGUGCUCAAUUCAAGGGCAUGGAGUAGCUGGGCAUGGUAAACACACACCUGUAAUCCCAGCACGCUGAGAUGUUGAGGCAGGAGGUUUGCAAAUUCCGAGUCCAGCCAACUCAGUGAGAUCCUGUCUCAAUUUAAAAAAGGGCUAGAGAUAUAGCUCAGUGUGAAGGCUCAAUCCUAGUAUCAAAAAAAGGUAUGGAAUGAAUGAAUGAACAGAUUCCUAGCAACAGCCUCACAGGUGUGGAGUGGGGGGACCUUUGCGUUGACCAGGCAGCAUGGCUGAGGUGCCUCAGUGAACCAUUGGGACCUAUUACAGGGCCAGGCUGGACACUACCAGCCCAUGUUUCAGAAUGGGCUGCCACCCAGGGAAGGGAGUAGCUGGUCUCUCCCAUUAAUCUUCUCUGCUCCAAACUGCCAUAUGCAACUUACUGUCCAACCCACACAGCUUAAAGUUUGAGUGCAUACAGUUCAUUCAUUCAUUUCACCUAGAACAAAUUACAACACCCCUUCUUGACUUAUGUAACCUAACAAGUAAGACUGAUGUUACUUACUUGUUUGUUUCAAAUUGCAAACAGUUACAACAAUGGUAUUCAUGCUUUUCAAAUGGUUACAUGGGCAACACCCAGGCCAAGGACCAAGUUUCCAGAUUUGCAAGGAUGUGCACAAUUUCAAAUAUUUUGUUCUGUUAUCCGCAUAAACACCCUUUAGCUUUUCAGACGUGGUGACCUAUUUUUGGUUAGGAAAAUAGGUCACCUUAAAGCAACUUCUCUGUGUGCCUUGUGGUUGGCCUGCCCUGGCCACAUGCAGGCUCCCAGUGAAUAGAAUCAGGGGAACAGGGCAGGAUCUGAUACAUCCCCUUGCUCAGGGUGCCUGUGGCAGAGAUGACACCCAGAGCUACAUCUGAUUGUCCAGUUGGACAGCUUGGCACAGCCAAGAUCAUCUUGCAGGACUGUGGCAUCCACCUUAGCUCUUUCUCCUUUGUGCAUGAGUCUGGCACAAAUGAUCCACUGCCACAUUUCUCUUUCUACCAGAGAAAGCUGUGCAGCUAUCCUGUGACCACUUGGGAAAAGGGGUCCACAUUGACGCUGGGGAGCCCAUCACCUUCUAGACUACACACAGGUGAAAACUGUCCCACUUUGUUUCCUAAACCAAGCAGUGCAACUUGUCACAGCUACUCUCAUGCCAGGAGAAGGGUCACUGAACUCCUGGCUGGGAAGUGGCCACUUUUCUGGAAGUCUCUCUAGAGACCCUUGACUCUCGGAGCCCCCAGAGGCAGACAGAUAAGGCUGCUGCUGGGAGGGCAGUGUGGAAACAUUUGGCAGCUGACUGUGACUAAUAAAAACCUGGAUGCCUGGAAUUUAAAACAUUUGCAGCAGCCCCAGUCCGUGUGGUUAAGAGAAGAAAGGGCUUUUUCAGGUCUCUGCGUUCUUCCAGAAAGCAAGGGAGAGGAGGAUGGGGUACUGGGUUCUCCCUUCAUCCCUUGGGUGGACAUGAAUGACUUUCUUAUGGCUCUGUCCUCAUCAGCUCUCUUUGGGCCCUCAAGCCCCCUGGGCUGCCUACUGUCACAAAGGAGAAACUGAGGCUCAGAGAUCAGUCGGGUGAUUAGCAACAUCUAAAUCUCACAGCCUGGGGAUUUCUGAUCAAUUCUGGUAACCUAGCUUUUUGCAAAGAGUCUUAGAAAUGGGUAAGGAAGAAGGUAGAGUGAAGGGGUGAGGGUAAAAUCCCUGUUUCCUGAUCUAACAAAACGAGGCCCAAGCCCGGAGCCUUCUACGAGCACAUGACCCUGCAACGUGCAAGCACUUUGCUCAGAAGGGCAUCUGGACUUGUCAUCUCUCCUUAUCUAAUGCUUUUUCCAACUUGUCCACUCACCACAGACAGGAAACAAAGCUUCUUGGUUUUAAGAGCCUCUGAACCCCUGGGAGGUUUGGUUGAGGCUCUGUUCUCCAAGCUUAAAAAAGAUCUGUUCUUUUUUGAGGCCAACAGCAGUGCACAUUUUAUUAUUUGUUCCUGCCUGCCUCCUGUUAAGAAAGUUUUCACGAUUGACCCAAGACUCCUUUUUUCUUAUAUUCACCCAAACUUUUGUUUUACAGUGUGGCAUUCAGGGGCUCAAGAGGGGCCAGCUGCUCUGGACACACAGCUGAAAAUCUCCCUCACUCAGCCUGGAACUCAAGCCUUCAGCUUGGGGGUUUAAAACUGAGAAUUCACAGCCAGACAAGGAGGCACCAUGUGUGUUGGGGAAGGGGAGGAGGGAGACCCUACUCUUUUAAUUUCCUGCAUGAAAUGAUCACAGGCUCAUUCAUGCGAGGAAUAUGUGCUCUCUCUGGCCUCCAGAGGGGAAUUCACCGAGUGUCAAGAAGACCAGCUCAAGCCUGGAGCAGAUGCACAUGUCCAGGGAAGCAGUUAGCUCAUCAAGUGAAAUUCCAUCCACUCGCCUCAGGGCUUCUUCCGUGACUCACGCUCCUGGCCUCACAGAGUGGGAUGAACUGGUUAGGGAAGCACAAUCUAUUACCGCACCGCAGAGCCUGUAAAGCAUUUCUGUAGAAACUGUCUGAGUUUUUCUCCUGCACAGUAUUUAAAACAACCUUGCAACUGGUGAGUACCCGACACACCAGUUCUGAUGGAGAAACUGUUGCGACUGUCUGAGACUUGCCCAGUGUUCUGGCUAGAGAUACCUCAGGGUCAAGCCUACGGACUCAUGCUUGGGGGAGCUCAUUUGAGGGACAAUGUUUCCUCCCCCACAGGAGAAUAAAGUGUCCUCUAGAGCAGACUACAGUGUCAGGUGGGCACAGAAGUGCAGGGAAGCAAACUGGUUUCAGGCUGAGUGAAAUCCCAUCAGCCAGGCUCGGGGCUUGUGACUCACACCUCUGGCACCCCUGAGGGGGAUGAACAAGGUCUAGACUGAUGUGCUGUUUUCUUCCACUCUCUGCCUGGGGAGCUCUGGUGCACUCGAGAGGAGGCACACACACCUGUGAGGGUUGGGCUAAGCCUGUUACCUGUCUUUGAUCUCCAGGCAUUAAUGAGGAUGAUGGUUCCUGCAGAGGAGUGGAAAGAGACAGGGAUGUCUCACCAGCUCCAUUAGUCCAGGGGUUCACAGCUGGGUCACAGACAUGGAGAAAGCAUUAACUGACCCUUCAUUUCUGGUCACACUUCACUCUUGAUCACUUUUGAAAUCAGAGGCCCCAAGCUGGGGGGAUGUUGGGAAGGGCUUUUACCCUCACCCUUAGACAUAGAAGAGUGAGGAUCUGAAGUCUGCAGCUGGUUUCCAGGUCAAGAACAGGCAGGGAGAAGGACAGAGCCCACAACGUACACACCGGUUGACAUCCCUUCUGUGCGUGUGACACACAUGGCUGGCACCAAUUUACACAACAACCUACACGGCCAGUAGACACCUCCAACUUGGUAUAGGUGCAAUUCACAGAUGAAGAAUAACGGGAUCUCAGAAUUUGGCGAUCACUUAAUCCCACUUCCUUCCCCAAGAAGGGAUCUGACCGCAAUAUUCCUGGCAGGUCAUCCAGGGUCUGUUUGGAAGUCUCCAGCAACCAGGAGCUCACCACAAAUGAAGGGAAGUAUGGGCUUCGCCUCAGCUGGAAUCUGCCCCCCAUUACCUGCCCUUUGGCCUUUGCUGUGAGAGUUGGAAUAAAUGAUAAACAUUUGCCUUCAUGGCAGUUCUUCAAAUAUCUGAAGAGAACUGCCUUGCUUCCUCCUCCAUUUCUUUUCCUGUCAAAAAUUUUUCACUGCCUUAUAUGAUAUGGUAUCCAGACCAAUCAACACCUUCAGAGAUUGGUUUUUAAUAAUCAAUGCUUUUCAGUCAUUGUCUAUAAUGCCUGCACUCUUGUGGCUGAGUUUUGUUUCCUAUGAACUGUAAUAUAGAAUCAUAUAUUUAAUGUCCUAUAGGUUCAAAAUAUAUUAUCAUUAUUGUGACCCUUUGGACCUAUUAUUUCAGCUUCCUGUAGGUUCCUGAAUCUUUCUUCAAUCCAUGAUUUUAUUUCUCAGCAACCCUUCCUAGUUUUGUAUCUCCUCUACAUGUUAUCAGUCCACAUUUUAAUUUCCAUGAUACAUGAUGGGUAGGCGGGGGCAGAGCCCUCCCACACACCAUUAGAGGCCAUCCACUGUGUUUAUUCCAAAUUAGUCACCAGUUCUCCGUGGGUAUCCUUAGUCAGUACUCCAUGACUCCGCCUAUGGGUGCGUCCACCAAAGUGGUCUCUUCCUCUUGUCCACAAAAAUGUGACAGUGUGCAUUUCUAUAGCUAAGAGGAAUGAUUCCAUGAUCUCAGCUACAGACACAGCCCAUCCCUUGAAGUGUUCUGGAGAACUCAGCAUCCCACAAACAUCUGCUGUAGGUGGUCUAGGUGGCUCUCUCCCCGUGAAGCCAGUGAUGCCAGGAAGCAUGAGCGUUAGCCACAAAGCCCAGGAGGCAAGAAUCUUCUGACAACUCCCAAAGGCCUUCCUUGGGCAGCCUGAAUCCUGGCCCCUGCAUGACCUGUUUUUAGCAGGGGGAGUCUUGAGAGGUGAUGUGUCCCCUCCACAUUGUGGCUGGACAAGAAUGCUCCAUCCUGGUUCAUGGUCACCAGUCUGGUCUGAAUGACAGCAUAAAAGAGGCCUUCUAAGAAAAUGCAAAGUGCGAAGGCUGUGAAUGUCAAUGUCACCUGGUCCUUCAAACCAGAUGUCUGGCCUGGUUACUGUUACUGCAUUCGGAUCUGUGUGCUUUGCCUGGAAUGAUCCUCCAGCUUACCCUGGGCAUACAGCUGUCUUCCUAGGUCCUAGGGACCAUGUCCCUCUCUGGCUGAUGCCUCAGACCAUGAUGUGGUUGGCAGGCACCCCACAAAUGUCCAGAAUAAAGAAUAAAGGUGGGUCCUAUGCUUUCCUAUUGUAUAAUAGCAGCCCUACCAGAACAAGAACGUUCUCCCCAACAUUUUCUCUUCCUGAAUCUCUCUUUUCCACCCUAUGAGGUUCUGCUUUUGAUGCAAUCCACCUCAAUUCCCCUCCAAACACUAAGCAUCAGAACUACCACAGAGUAAGUAUUCAAUACACAUUUAUCUAAUGAAGUGCCACUCAGAGUCCUUUUUCCGGGAUCAUCUUUUCAUUUACUCAACCCCAAGCUCACUGAUGUUCUGGCUUAUCUUCCUUUUAUUCAAGAAGACUUUCUAGUCCCAACAAGCCUGGCUCUUCACUUGACACUCCAAUGGCUUUUCUGAGGUUCUAGGCUGAAUGGGGACCCAUCAAAGGUGCUGGGAAUGAACUCAUUGUCCUAUCAGGCAGGGCAAUGCUAUGAAGGAAUGACCCUCUCCGAUGUGUCACUGCUUAGUCUAAUAUUGUAUUCUGGGGGAUUCUCUCCCUAAAAGAAUAAUGAUUUGGGGGAGAAAAAGAUUGUUGAGUUGGAGAUAUUGUUGCCAUGAGGUACCUAGAUUUAUCUGUUGGCUACAGUGAUGACUAAGACACAGCUCCUGCUCCUCAGGGGCUUCUGGUCUCCUCAGAGAGAUGAGCUAUUUACCAGUGGGUGAUAACUGUUCCACACAAGACCAUAAAGAGUGGAGAUGAGAAGUUCUGUGAGACUGGGUUGCACAAGCCCACUCCCAAAAUCACUGACUCCUCCAAAGAGUAAAGCUGUCUUCAGUUAUGUUCAGUUACUAAAUAAAGCAGGGGUCCCGACACCAGGGCCAUGAACCAAUACCCUACUGGGCCACAGACUUGUUAGGAACAGCACCACACAGCAGGGGGCGAGUGGCAGGCAAAUGAGCAAAGCUUCAUCUGUAUUUCCGGCCACUCUCAUCUCUGGCAUUGCCGCCUGAGCUCCACCUCCUGUCAGAUCAUCGGGGCCACUGGAUUCUCAUAUGAGCAAGGACCCUACCGUUAACCAGACAUGUGAGGGUUUCAUGCUCUUUUGAAUCAUCCUGAAACCAGAACCCCAUGCCCCUGCCUCUUCUCCCUCCUGUCCAUGGAAAAAUUCUCUCCCACGAAACUUGUCCUUGGUGCCAAGAAGGUGGGGAACACUGAAAUAAAGUAUGUCUACUCUACAGUAUGUGCUCUGGUUAUCAAGAGCGCAUAUGAAGAGUGUCAGGUAGAAGUAGUCUCUCUCAGCUGAGGGAAGGAUGGAAAUCCUUCCCAUGCUCACUGCAGCUGGACCAGUGCCCAGUGGGCCUGGUGUACAGAGAGGAGCAGGCAGCGUGAGUCAUGAGGAGAAAAUGUGGACUACAGUCUGGGGAGAACUUCCUCAGGAGCCCAAAUAAGGCAAUUUCAAGUCACCUUUCUUCAGCCUUAGGGCUGGCACUGGCUGGAGGUCAAGGCUCAGUGACACUCCUUGGCCUGUGUCCAUGGUGGAUCCCACUGCCCCAUGGCGGUGACAUCCAACAUGUUCCUCAAGGACAGGAGUCUCAGCAUCCUGCUCCUCCUGCCCAAAAGCCCACAUGCUUUGCAUAUAAGAGGAAUUCAAUCGCUUGAUAAUUUAGUUCUUUACAUGAAGAAAUUGUAGAAAAGCUCAAUCUGAAACUGAGCCAUAAAUGUACAAGAAGGGUCACAAACCCUUCUCAUUGGCCACUUCCAAAAGCAGACUUGGGCCACCAACAUCAGAGUCAUCUGAGAGAGCAUUAAUAAAAACAAGCUAGUCCCAUAGUGGGAAAUUCUCAUUCAGUAGGUCAAAAUGAGGCCCCAGUGUCUGCAGUUGUAAAGUGGCUCUGGUCCCCAGCUAGAUUGGGGACAACUGUCCCAUGGUUGCCAGCCUCCAAGAUGGCCCCCAAUGAUCUCCACCAUCUGCAUUCAUUCCCUUGUGUCAUCUCCUCCCAGAUGGGACCAGGGUUGGUCUGUGUGACCAAGAGACUAGAGCAGAAAUGAUGGUCAUCACUUCUGAGCGUGGGUUAUCAAAGACUGUGGCUCCCAUCAGCAGUUUCUCUUCUAUGAAUCACUCAUCCUGGGGGGAGACACUGAGGACAUAUCUUGAGGACACUGAGGCCGCUUAUGGAGAAGCUGUGCUGAGCGGAAAAGGGAGUUCCAGCCAGUAGCUAGUGCCCGCCCUCAAUCACAUGAGUCAGCAGGGGAAGGGGUACAGCUUCAUGGGAAAGAAUCAGGUCGUUAAGCCUCCACUGGCUUCUUGACCCAUGGAAACUGUGAGAUGAUUCAUGUUGGUUGUGUUAGGCUGAAAAAUCUGGAAGCAAAUUGUUAUGCAGCAAGUGCUAACUAAUACAUUUUCCCACCAAAGGGCAAGCUCCCACACACGGCUCACCUACCUUCCCAGCCUGAGCUCACAUGCUCCUAAAUAGAUGCACAUCACCUUGGUAAUCAUCCCCUGCUCGCCACCAGGCCACGCUCCUCACCUCUGUGCCUGGAUGCCCUUCCCCAUGGAUGACAUCCCCUUCUCCAGAAAUCCUCCCUGAAACUGCCCUUCAGGGUUGGUCCCCUCCUUGGUGUUCACGUACACUUCUUGAAAUCAGUGGGAAAGCGGCAAGUUACAUGGAAGAAGAACAUUCACAUCAAGAACUCAUCAAGAGCAUAGA